AUGUCUUCUUUUGUAUUGGCAGAUGACAGUCAGCAUGCCACACGACGUAGACGCACGAUAAUAAUUGCUGCAUCCACGUCCGUAGCCAUUCUGUUAAUCAUCGCUGCUACUGGAUGUUGUUGUUACUUCAGGAGGAAGAAGAACCCUCCAGACGGUGAGUGUCCGUUAACUAACUGCAGUACAGUAUAUUUUGCGGCUGCAAUAGCUCAUUUAACAAGCCUGAUAUUAUUGCAGCACCAGCAGAAGAAGAACUUGCCUUGCUCGCAUUCCAAGCAGGGCCGACCAGAUAUACGCACUCGGAAACUGAAAUUGCGACGAACGGAUUCGACAGAUCCAUAG
Molecule: ribosomal RNA, 339 nt
Filed under: Triticum aestivum (bread wheat)
Lineage: Eukaryota; Viridiplantae; Streptophyta; Magnoliopsida; Poales; Poaceae
Description: partial small subunit ribosomal RNA
Source: RNAcentral